This is a long non-coding RNA of Monomorium pharaonis (pharaoh ant), 342 nucleotides long. RefSeq lists it as uncharacterized. The transcript is spliced from 3 exons. Lineage: Eukaryota; Metazoa; Arthropoda; Insecta; Hymenoptera; Formicidae. The record is from RefSeq and is a predicted model, not a curated record.
AUUUUGACAUAUGCGUGCACGUUGCGCAUAUGUGAAACAAUAAAUAUUUUAUUAAUAUAAAUGUUAAAGACAUUGUAACACAUCAAUAAAAAUAACACAAGAAUUGAAAACAUUACAUUAUAAAGUGCAUAUAGGUUAACAAGUUUUGUGACAUGCCUAAUAGAUAAACGUCGAAUCAACGAAUCAAUUUGUCUUAAUCGUCAACUGAAGAAUGAAACCUAUAAGAAAUGAAUUAGGAAGAAGUACAUGGAGAAUAGGCUAUCGCGCUCUAAUCUCGCCCAGAAUUUUGGAUGCCUCGUCAAGCUACAAAUAUUUUUCUGGUGCUCGGUUAAAUAAGCUGUA